This 450-nucleotide ribosomal RNA is filed under the name uncultured soil bacterium. RNAcentral's name for it is "bacterial SSU rRNA". It matches the Rfam family "Bacterial small subunit ribosomal RNA", at positions 26 to 518 of the family's 1533-position model. The record is from RNAcentral.
AGAGCGAACGCUGGCGGCAGGCCUAACACAUGCAAGUCGAACGGACCCUUCGGGGUUAGUGGCGGACGGGUGAGUAACACGUGGGAACGUGCCUUUAGGUUCGGAAUAGCUCCUGGAAACGGGUGGUAAUGCCGAAUGUGCCCUUCGGGGGAAAGAUUUAUCGCCUUUAGAGCGGCCCGCGUCUGAUUAGCUUGUUGGUGAGGUAAUGGCUCACCAAGGCUACGAUCAGUAGCUGGUCUGAGAGGAUGACCAGCCACAUUGGGACUGAGACACGGCCCAAACUCCUACGGGAGGCAGCAGUGGGGAAUCUUGCGCAAUGGGCGAAAGCCUGACGCAGCCAUGCCGCGUGUAUGAUGAAGGUCUUAGGAUUGUAAAAUACUUUCACCGGUGAAGAUAAUGACUGUAGCCGGAAGAAGAAGCCCCGGAUAACGUUCGUAGCCCAGCAGCCGC